Molecule: ribosomal RNA, 163 nt
Filed under: Festuca scariosa
Lineage: Eukaryota; Viridiplantae; Streptophyta; Magnoliopsida; Poales; Poaceae
Also listed under: 4 other names
Description: 5.8S ribosomal RNA
Rfam family: 5.8S ribosomal RNA
About the family: 5.8S ribosomal RNA (5.8S rRNA) is a component of the large subunit of the eukaryotic ribosome. It is transcribed by RNA polymerase I as part of the 45S precursor that also contains 18S and 28S rRNA.
Source: RNAcentral
CUCUCGGCAACGGAUAUCUCGGCUCUCGCAUCGAUGAAGAACGUAGCGAAAUGCGAUACCUGGUGUGAAUUGCAGAAUCCCGCGAACCAUCGAGUCUUUGAACGCAAGUUGCGCCCGAGGCCGCUUGGCUGAGGGCACGCCUGCCUGGGCGUCACGCCAAACA